ACAGAGGCAGGGAAGGUUGGGGCGGGCAGGCAGACCAGCACCACAGCUGGUAACUCCACCUCCCAUCACAGCAGAGGGUGUGGGGUGGGCUAACCAACAGCCGCAGUACCAGUACCACGGACUGGAAUCCUGCCUGCAUCUGCCCUCCCGAGGACAGCGCAGCCCACAAGGAUAAGGGUACAUCUGGCUGGUGUCUUGAUCACUACAAAUGCUAGUGACCAAGACAGAGGAUCUGCAGAUGACUUGUCUCCCCCACCCAGGGACCAGAUGCUGUGGGAGCCAGUGCCACUGAUCUCAGCCAAGAGGCUAAGAAGUGAUGAGCGCGCACACACACGAGCCAUCAGGACGCAGAAGUAAGACUGCUAUUUAACCUCAGAAUCCACUUCGGACUGCUAUGUGUCUUGAAAAUUUCAGCAAUGGAUGCAAGGAUAUUUCCUGAGGUCAUGGAAACUGGAAAAGCCAGUGGAAACCAGGCAGACACAGUUCAUAAGGAGAAUACAGUGGAUCUCUCAAACAACCCCAGACAUCCCCCUACCACGAUGUCAAGGCAAAGGAGUCCACUGAAUUGUAUUCACCAGAUGGUCAGGCUACAGGGACACAGCCAUUCUGUCCCUCUGCUCAGGACAACUGUGAAAAGCUCCUCUCUGGGAGACUGGCAACAUUAGAAAGAUUAUAAACGUGGCCACUGAGACUGUAGCUCAGUACUGGCCCAUUACUGGAGAAGACCAGGCCCACUGUUGCAUUUUAAACACUGCAUAUCCUUCAACCCUCUAAACCUUUCAGUGCCUAGCCUACACAUGUGUGCACACCUGCACACUUACAAAAUGCACUCACACCCGACUGAUCAGCAGAGCUGAAGCCCAGAAAUAAGAAGCAUUUUUUUCAAUAGAUGGUUAAGGAAACUGUGGAACAUGUGUACCACAGAAAGUGGGUGUUCUUGGUGGACUGCUAUAGACAGAAGUGAGGAAGACCAAGUCCAGAAGAAAUGCUUGGACCGUUUGGAUAAACAGCAUGGGUUGCACAAGCACCUGCCUGUCUGUUCAGAAGUGAGAAUGGGCUCCCUCCAGCAGACAGAAGAAAAGACUGGAGAACAACUUAACCCAAGCCAAGCUCCCCAACUCCUUAAAUAAUCCAUACGGCAACUAGAAAAUGAUCUAGUCAUGAAGGGUUUGGCAAGAUGGAACAGCAGGUAAAAGCGCUUACCACGCCAGCCUGACAACAAGAAUCAGGUUCUUGGACCCCCCACAUUCAAAGGAGAGCACAGAGGAAGCAGCCCCCACCCCCAGCUGUGUCACGAACGCUGCUGUGUGCAUGCGUAUAUGCGUAUACAGCACACAAUAAUAAAAAAAAAAAUAGAAAAUGAGACUCAUGGGUGUUGUAACCUUAAAAACUAGACAUUGGGGCUAGGAGAACAGCCCUGUGUGCCCCUUGCCUAGCACACGAAGUCCCAAGUUGCAUUUCCAGCAUGAUAAAAAAGAAAAAUAAAAAUUAGACCUUAAAUAGUCACAUUUCAGCUGGAAAUUGUAGCUUGUGUCUGGGAUUCCAGCACUGUGGGGGUGGGAAGGCUGAGAUUGCCCUCUGUUGAGGCCAUCCUAGGCUAUUAUUUAGUGGAUUUCAGGCCAAGCUGGGCUCAUGUAAAACACUGUAUCAGUAAUAAAGGAUAGUAAUUUAUCUGCA
Molecule: long non-coding RNA, 1677 nt
Filed under: Mus musculus (house mouse)
Lineage: Eukaryota; Metazoa; Chordata; Mammalia; Rodentia; Muridae
Description: predicted gene 27252 (Gm27252)
Source: RNAcentral